Phalacrocorax carbo (great cormorant) is the source of this 481-nucleotide non-coding RNA. The record is from RefSeq and is a predicted model, not a curated record. NCBI's taxonomy places the organism in Eukaryota, Metazoa, Chordata, Aves, Suliformes, Phalacrocoracidae.
CCGGCCCGCCGGCUGCCGGGCCCGGUGCGCGGAGGACGCGGGCAGAGCGGCGGCAGGAAGGAGCAGCCGCAGACCCUGCCUUUAAAAGGGACAGGCCUCCCUGCAGCGCUGGGGUGGACGUGCCUGCGCUAGCAGGCUGAAGAGGGAGGAUGGAAAAGGGAGUGAUCCUGGACCCUGAAAGGAUGCUCUCCAAACCCCAGAGAAAUCCAAGGAAAGGUUCCUUUGAUGAUGGGGAGUUAUCAGAGAAGACAUGGGCUGGCGAUUCCUGCAGAUGUGUCUUACAGCUGAAGGAGAGAAAAUAGAAAACAGCAACAACAGAGGCAAACUUUCAUCAGAGAGCAAGACAGCAGAACUCAGUCAGCAGAACACCUGGGCAGGCUCUUCCAUGUGUGGCUGUAUUGGAACCUAUAGGAGGAAUGCAUUGGCAUAGGUCUACAUUACAGAUAAGAUACUUAGCAAAGUUCUUCAGCUUAUCAAAGUU